Molecule: ribosomal RNA, 548 nt
Filed under: uncultured bacterium
Lineage: Bacteria
Description: bacterial SSU rRNA
Rfam family: Bacterial small subunit ribosomal RNA
Source: RNAcentral
CUCCUGGAAACGGGUGGUAAUGCCGGAUGCUCCAGAUGACCGCAUGGGAUUCUGGGAAAGCUUUUGCGGCAUGGGAUGGGGUCGCGUCCUAUCAGCUUGUUGGUGGGGUGAUGGCCCACCAAGGCUUCGACGGGUAGCCGGCCUGAGAGGGCGACCGGCCACAUUGGGACUGAGAUACGGCCCAGACUCCUACGGGAGGCAGCAGUGGGGAAUAUUGCGCAAUGGGCGAAAGCCUGACGCAGCGACGCCGCGUGCGGGAUGGAGGCCUUCGGGUUGUAAACCGCUUUUAUCGGGGAGCAAGCGAGAGUGAGUGUACCCGUUGAAUAAGCACCGGCUAACUACGUGCCAGCAGCCGCGGUAAUACGUAGGGUGCAAGCGUUAUCCGGAUUUAUUGGGCGUAAAGGGCUCGUAGGCGGUUCGUCGCGUCCGGUGUGAAAGUCCAUCGCUUAACGGUGGAUCCGCGCCGGGUACGGGCGGGCUUGAGUGCGGUAGGGGAGACUGGAAUUCCCGGUGUAACGGUGGAAUGUGUAGAUAUCGGGAAGAACACC